Molecule: transfer RNA, 72 nt
Filed under: Phrynosoma platyrhinos (Desert horned lizard)
Lineage: Eukaryota; Metazoa; Chordata; Lepidosauria; Squamata; Phrynosomatidae
Description: tRNA-OTHER
Source: RNAcentral
GCCAGUGUGGUGUAGUGGUUUGAGUGUUGGACUAUGACUCUGGAGACCAGGGUUUGAAUCCCCACUCAGCCA